Long non-coding RNA from Eriocheir sinensis (Chinese mitten crab), 1095 nucleotides. RefSeq lists it as uncharacterized. NCBI's taxonomy places the organism in Eukaryota, Metazoa, Arthropoda, Malacostraca, Decapoda, Varunidae. The record is from RefSeq and is a predicted model, not a curated record. The transcript has 4 exons.
CUCCUCCUCUACCUCCUCCUCAGGUUAGAUACAGAACAGCAUCCCCGCACUGCAGCCUCCAUAUCACCAGGACGAAGAGAACACCAUUGGAAGAGCUCUUUUUGAAAACACAGGAAUGGAGACAGUAAAGACAGUACUAUAUAAAUUUUGGCAGAAAAGAGAAAAGAAAAGAAAGGAAGAGGAGACGUAAAGAGGUUUAGAAACACAAGACACCCAGACCGAGAAAGACUGCACACCUCACUGACUCACUCUCAGCCCGGGAUGAAUCUUCGCAUCAUAAGCUAAAACGGUCCUUAUUUUACCGCAGAGACACGGGAGGUUUAAGGCCCCCCUGCAAGAAAAUCCGGUACUUAUGCAGCGUACCCCAUCCAAACUAAGCCUUGAAAAUAUGGCACUAGGAAUGCGGAAAGGCCUGGCAGGUGAUGUAAAUCAACAAUUGGACCUGCGCUGCUUGCUGGAGACCAAAAGGAACAUAUUAACUCUGCUGCAUAGAUAUCCACGGGGCAUCGAGCUGGAUAAGUUUGUGGCCGCGUACCAGCAUGUGUUUAGAAAGGAGGUCAUCCCUGAGGAGUUUGGCUACAGGGGUGUGGCAGACAUGCUUCGAUCCCUUCACCAUAUCGUGGACCUGAGGCAUAAAGUGAAACUCCGCAAAGUUCUCUUCUCAAAGUACCACAGAGGUUCGUCCACUGGAGGUUGGAGUGGCACAAAACAGGAACCUCUAAUGCUGAUCAAGGAGAGGGUUCGAAAGGUGCUGAUGGGGUAUCCGAAUGGCCUGUACGCGGAGAACCUUAACCAGGCCUACUUUAUGAAGUAUAGGGAGUGGAUCUCUCCAAUGAAUUUAGGCUUCUCGGGCAUGGGGAAACUGGUGGACUCAUUUCAGGACGUUUUGGAGAUUAAAUGGGUUCAGCCGGAGGAGGGGAAGUGGAUUGUCCAUUUGAAGUCCACUGGAGGAGAUGUCAAACAAGAGAGAAAGGAGAUGGAGACACAAAGUAUGACACCACUGCCAGUCAAGCAAGGAAUGAACAAGACAAGUACACCAACACCUCCAGUCAACCAAGCAAUGGACAAGACAAGUACGCCAACACCUCCAGUCAA